GAUGAACGCUGGCGGCGUGCCUAAUACAUGCAAGUCGAGCGAACAGACGAGGAGCUUGCUCCUCUGACGUUAGCGGCGGACGGGUGAGUAACACGUGGAUAACCUACCUAUAAGACUGGGAUAACUUCGGGAAACCGGAGCUAAUACCGGAUAAUAUAUUGAACCGCAUGGUUCAAUAGUGAAAGACGGUUUUGCUGUCACUUAUAGAUGGAUCCGCGCCGCAUUAGCUAGUUGGUAAGGUAACGGCUUACCAAGGCAACGAUGCGUCGCCGACCUGAGAGGGUGGUCGGCCACACUGGAACGUGGACACGGUCCAGACUCCUACGGGAGGCAGCAGUAGGGAAUCUUCCGCAAUGGGCGAAAGCUUGACGGAGCAACGCCGCGUGAGUGAUGAAGGUCUUCGGAUCGUAAAACUCUGUUAUUAGGGAAGAACAAAUGUGUAAGUAACUAUGCACGUCUUGACGGUACCUAAUCAGAAAGCCACGGCUAACUACGUG
Molecule: ribosomal RNA, 497 nt
Filed under: uncultured bacterium
Lineage: Bacteria
Description: partial 16S ribosomal RNA
Rfam family: Bacterial small subunit ribosomal RNA
Source: RNAcentral